GAUGAAGAACGUAGCGAAAUGCGAUAAGUAGUGUGAAUUGCAGAAUUCAGUGAAUCAUCGAAUCUUUGAACGCACAUUGCGCCCUUUGGUAUUCCUUAGGGCAUGCCUGUUCGAGCGUCAUUUGUACCUUCAAGCUUUGCUUGGUGUUGGGCGUUUUUUGUCUCCCUCUUUCUGGGAGACUCGCCUUAAAACGAUUGGCAGCCGGCCUACUGGUUUCGGAGCGCAGCACAUAUUUUGCGCUUUGUAUCAGGAGAAAAGGACGGUAAUCCAUCAAGACUCUACAUUUUUAACUUUUGACCUCGGAUCAGGUAGGGAUACCCGCUGAACUUAAGCAUAUCAAUAAGCGGAGGA
RNAcentral lists this unclassified non-coding RNA (351 nucleotides) under soil metagenome. RNAcentral describes it as "partial contains 5.8S ribosomal RNA, internal transcribed spacer 2, and large subunit ribosomal RNA". The stretch from base 1 to 120 matches the Rfam family "5.8S ribosomal RNA", at positions 35 to 154 of the family's 154-position model. The record is from RNAcentral.